This 370-nucleotide ribosomal RNA is filed under the name uncultured bacterium. RNAcentral's name for it is "bacterial SSU rRNA". It matches the Rfam family "Bacterial small subunit ribosomal RNA", at positions 81 to 451 of the family's 1533-position model. The record is from RNAcentral.
CUUUUCACGCCCUAGUGGCGGACGGGUGAGUAACGCGUGGGUAACCUGCCAUAUACAGGUCGAUAACACUUAGAAAUAGGUGCUAAUACCGCAUAAGCGCACAGGGGCGCAUGCCCCGGUGUGAAAAACUCCGGUGGUAUAUGAUGGACCCGCGUCUGAUUAGCCAGUUGGCAGGGUAACGGCCUACCAAAGCGACGAUCAGUAGCCGGCCUGAGAGGGCGGACGGCCACAUUGGGACUGAGACACGGCCCAAACUCCUACGGGAGGCAGCAGUGGGGGAUAUUGCACAAUGGGGGAAACCCUGAUGCAGCGACGCCGCGUGAGUGAAGAAGUAUUUCGGUAUGUAAAGCUCUAUCAGCAGGGAAGAAAA